AGGAAAAGAAACCAACAGGGAUUGCCCUAGUAACGGCGAGUGAAGCGGCAACAGCUCAAAUUUGAAAUCUGGCGCAAGCCCGAGUUGUAAUUUGUAGAGGAUGCUUCUAGGUAGCGACCGGUCUAAGUUCCUUGGAACAGGACGUCAUAGAGGGUGAGAAUCCCGUAUGUGACUGGCCCGCACCUUCUACGUAGCUCCUUCGACGAGUCGAGUUGUUUGGGAAUGCAGCUCUAAAUGGGAGGUAAAUUUCUUCUAAAGCUAAAUACCGGCCAGAGACCGAUAGCGCACAAGUAGAGUGAUCGAAAGAUGAAAAGCACUUUGGAAAGAGAGUUAAAAAGCACGUGAAAUUGUUGAAAGGGAAGCGCUCACAACCAGACUUCUAGGCAGUGUUCCGCCGGUCUUUUGACCGGUCUACUCUCUGUCUCGAGGCCAACAUCAUCUGGGACCGCUGGAUAAGACCUUAGGAAUGUAGCUCCCCUCGGGGAGUGUUAUAGCCUCUGGUGAUGCAGCGAGUCUCGGGUGAGGUCCGCGCUUCGGCAAGGAUGUUGGCGUAAUGGUUGUCAGCGGCCCGUCUUGAAACACGGACCAAGGAGUCUAACAUCUAUGCGAGUGUUCGGGUGUCAAACCCCUACGCGUAAUGAAAGUGAACGGAGGUGGGAAGCGUAAGCUGCACCAUCGACCGAUCCUGAUGUCCUCGGAUGGAUUUGAGUAAGAGCAUAGCUGUUGGGACCCGAAAGAUGGUGAACUAUGCCUGAAUAGGGUGAAGCCAGAGGAAACUCUGGUGGAGGCUCGCAGCGGUUCUGACGUGCAAAUCGAUCGUCAAAUUUGGGU
This 831-nucleotide ribosomal RNA is filed under the name Ramularia vizellae. RNAcentral's name for it is "eukaryotic LSU rRNA". It matches the Rfam family "Eukaryotic large subunit ribosomal RNA", at positions 54 to 916 of the family's 3401-position model. Lineage: Eukaryota; Fungi; Ascomycota; Dothideomycetes; Mycosphaerellales; Mycosphaerellaceae. The record is from RNAcentral. RNAcentral also lists the same sequence under 1 other name.